RNAcentral lists this ribosomal RNA (254 nucleotides) under uncultured bacterium. RNAcentral describes it as "partial 16S ribosomal RNA". It matches the Rfam family "Bacterial small subunit ribosomal RNA", at positions 526 to 779 of the family's 1533-position model. The record is from RNAcentral.
CGUAGGUGGCAAGCGUUAUCCGGAAUUAUUGGGCGUAAAGCGCGCGUAGGCGGUUUCUUAAGUCUGAUGUGAAAGCCCCCGGCUCAACCGGGGAGGGUCAUUGGAAACUGGGGAACUUGAGUACAGAAGAGGAGAGUGGAAUUCCAUGUGUAGCGGUGAAAUGCGCAGAGAUAUGGAGGAACACCAGUGGCGAAGGCGGCUCUCUGGUCUGAAACUGACGCUGAGGUGCGAAAGCGUGGGGAUCAAACAGGAUU